GAGUUUGAUCUUGGCUCAGAUUGAACGCUGGCGGCAGGCCUAACACAUGCAAGUCGAGCGGAUGAAGGGAGCUUGCUCCUGGAUUCAGCGGCGGACGGGUGAGUAAUGCCUAGGAAUCUGCCUGGUAGUGGGGGAUAACGUCCGGAAACGGGCGCUAAUACCGCAUACGUCCUGAGGGAGAAAGUGGGGGAUCUUCGGACCUCACGCUAUCAGAUGAGCCUAGGUCGGAUUAGCUAGUUGGUGGGGUAAAGGCCUACCAAGGCGACGAUCCGUAACUGGUCUGAGAGGAUGAUCAGUCACACUGGAACUGAGACACGGUCCAGACUCCUACGGGAGGCAGCAGUGGGGAAUAUUGGACAAUGGGCGAAAGCCUGAUCCAGCCAUGCCGCGUGUGUGAAGAAGGUCUUCGGAUUGUAAAGCACUUUAAGUUGGGAGGAAGGGCAGUAAGUUAAUACCUUGCUGUUUUGACGUUACCAACAGAAUAAGCACCGGCUAACUUCGUGCCAGCCGCCGCU
Molecule: ribosomal RNA, 515 nt
Filed under: uncultured microorganism
Description: bacterial SSU rRNA
Rfam family: Bacterial small subunit ribosomal RNA
Source: RNAcentral